AGGACGAACGCUGGCGGCGUGCUUAACACAUGCAAGUCGAGCGGAAAGGCCCUUCGGGGUACUCGAGCGGCGAACGGGUGAGUAACACGUGAGUAAUCUGCCCCUAGCUCUGGGAUAGCUCCGGGAAACCGGGAUUAAUACCAGAUACGACCACUUUAGACAUCUGUUGUGGUGGAAAGAAUUUCGGCUAGGGAUGAGCUCGCGGCCUAUCAGCUUGUUGGUGAGGUAACGGCUCACCAAGGCGACGACGGGUAGCCGGCCUGAGAGGGCGACCGGCCACACUGGGACUGAGACACGGCCCAGACUCCUACGGGAGGCAGCAGUGGGGAAUAUUGCGCAAUGGGCGAAAGCCUGACGCAGCGACGCCGCGUGGGGGAUGAAGGCCUUCGGGUUGUAACCCCUUUCAGCAGGGACGAAGCGAAAGUGACGGUACCUGCAGAGAAGCGCCGGCUAACUACGCGCCAGCAGCCGC
This 472-nucleotide ribosomal RNA is filed under the name uncultured bacterium. Its description in RNAcentral is "SSU rRNA". It matches the Rfam family "Bacterial small subunit ribosomal RNA", at positions 26 to 518 of the family's 1533-position model. The record is from RNAcentral.